ACAGUGUCUGGUGGGUAGUUUGACUGGGGCGGUCUCCUCCUAAAGCGUAACGGAGGAGCACGAAGGUUGGCUAAUCCUGGUCGGACAUCAGGAGGUUAGUGCAAUGGCAUAAGCCAGCUUGACUGCGAGCGUGACGGCGCGAGCAGGUGCGAAAGCAGGUCAUAGUGAUCCGGUGGUUCUGAAUGGAAGGGCCAUCGCUCAACGGAUAAAAGGUACUCCGGGGAUAACAGGCUGAUACCGCCCAAGAGUUCAUAUCGACGGCGGUGUUUGGCACCUCGAUGUCGGCUCAUCACAUCCUGGGGCUGAAGUAGGUCCCAAGGGUAUGGCUGUUCGCCAUUUAAAGUGGUACGCGAGCUGGGUUUAGAACGUCGUGAGACAGUUCGGUCCCUAUCUGCCGUGGGCGCUGGAGAACUGAGGGGGGCUGCUCCUAGUACGAGAGGACCGGAGUGGACGCAUCACUGGUGUUCGGGUUGUCAUGCCAAUGGCACUGCCCGGUAGCUAAAUGCGGAAGAGAUAAGUGCUGAAAGCAUCUAAGCACGAAACUUGCCCCGAGAUGAGUUCUCCCUGAGACUUUAGUCUCCUGAAGGAACGUUGAAGACGACGACGUUGAUAGGCCGGGUGUGUAAGCGCAGCGAUGCGUUGAGCUAACCGGUACUAAUGAACCGUGAGGCUUAACCUU
RNAcentral lists this ribosomal RNA (679 nucleotides) under Salmonella enterica. RNAcentral's name for it is "partial 23S ribosomal RNA". It matches the Rfam family "Bacterial large subunit ribosomal RNA", at positions 2251 to 2925 of the family's 2925-position model. The record is from RNAcentral. Lineage: Bacteria; Pseudomonadati; Pseudomonadota; Gammaproteobacteria; Enterobacterales; Enterobacteriaceae.